This 252-nucleotide ribosomal RNA is filed under the name uncultured bacterium. RNAcentral's name for it is "partial 16S ribosomal RNA". It matches the Rfam family "Bacterial small subunit ribosomal RNA", at positions 524 to 776 of the family's 1533-position model. The record is from RNAcentral.
UACGUAGGUCCCGAGCGUUGUCCGGAUUUAUUGGGCGUAAAGCGAGCGCAGGUGGUUUAUUAAGUCUGGUGUAAAAGGCAGUGGCUCAACCAUUGUAUGCAUUGGAAACUGGUAGACUUGAGUGCAGGAGAGGAGAGUGGAAUUCCUAGUGUAGCGGUGAAAUGCGUAGAUAUUACGCAGAACUCCGAUUGCGAAGGCAGCAUACCGGCGCCCGACUGACGCUGAGGCACGAAAGCGUGGGUAUCGAACAGG